Molecule: long non-coding RNA, 1059 nt
Filed under: Salmo salar (Atlantic salmon)
Lineage: Eukaryota; Metazoa; Chordata; Actinopteri; Salmoniformes; Salmonidae
Description: lncRNA (ENSSSAG00000108287.1)
Source: RNAcentral
AUAGAGAGCUAUGGAGAGCUAUGGAGAGCUAUGGAAGGUAUGGAGAGCUAUAGAGAGCUAUGGAAGGUAUGGAGAGCUAUUGAAAGCUAUGGAAGGUAUGGAGAGGUAUUGAGAGCUAUGGAAGGUUUGGAGAGCUUUGGAGAGCUAUGGAGAGCUAUGGAAGGUAUUAAGAGCUAUGGAAGGUAUGGAGAGCUAUGGAGAGCUAUUGAGAUCUAUGGAAGGUAUGGAGAGCUAUUGAGAGCUAUGGAAGGUAUGUAGAGCUAUGGAGAGCUAUGGAGAGCUAUGGAAGGUAUUAAGAGCUAUGGAAGGUAUGGAGAGGUAUUAAGAGCUAUGGAAGGUAUGGAGAGGUAUUGAGAGCUAUGGAAGGUUUGGAGAGCUUUGGAGAGCUAUGGAGAGCUAUGGAAGGUAUGGAGAGCUAUGGAAGGUAUGGAGAGCUAUUGAGAGCUAUGGAAGUUAUGGAGAGCUAUGGAAGGUAUGGAGAGCUAUGGAGAGCUAUGGAAGGUAUGAAGUAAGUAAAAAAAAGGGUGGUAAAAGAGGGAAGGCCUUGGUAUUCUUCGUCUCCUGAAGAUCAUGAUGGAUGAUCAGCGACAGUUUGCAAUAGCAAGUUGAGUUGAGGCCAGGGUGAGCAUUCCUUGGCACUGUUAAACAUGUCUCUAUAAACACACACACACACACACACACAGGUCUUACAAGCUUCGCUGACCUCUCAUAGUUGCGGACAGUAAUGACAUUCCAGCUUCUCCGUGUUUGUGUUAUAUUUCCAUUUUGACUCAGAGGAACACCAUGUUGAGGUCAGUGACCAACCAUGUAGUCCAUACUGACUAGUUAUAUUGCUAUGUACACCGCAUUAGCUGAAGUACUUUGGUUGAGGUUACAGUAAUAUGUUGUCACGAUUAUACAUUCAAGUAAAUGGAUGUUGACUCUCUAGCUACUAAAAACGAAAGAGCCUACAAGUUUACUUUAACGUAUAUUUGAGUUGUGUAUUGUGUACUUAAAAUCAACAAACCAUUAUUAGAUAAGCAAUAUUACUAGCAUACAAACUAGGUAAUCAGUACCAGU